RNAcentral lists this ribosomal RNA (460 nucleotides) under uncultured bacterium. RNAcentral describes it as "partial 16S ribosomal RNA". It matches the Rfam family "Bacterial small subunit ribosomal RNA", at positions 338 to 795 of the family's 1533-position model. The record is from RNAcentral.
CCUACGGGUGGCAGCAGUGAGGAAUAUUGGUCAAUGGACGAGAGUCUGAACCAGCCAAGUAGCGUGAAGGAUGACUGCCCUAUGGGUUGUAAACUUCUUUUAUAUGGGAAUAAAAUGUUCCACGUGUGGGAUUUUGUAUGUACCAUAUGAAUAAGGAUCGGCUAACUCCGUGCCAGCAGCCGCGGUAAUACGGGGGAUCCGAGCGUUAUCCGGAUUUAUUGGGUUUUAAGGGAGCGUAGGUGGAUUGUUAAGUCAGUUGUGAAAGUUUGCGGCUCAACCGUAAAAUUGCAGUUGAAACUGGCAGUCUUGAGUACAGUAGAGGUGGGCGGAAUUCGUGGUGUAGCGGUGAAAUGCUUAGAUAUCACGAAGAACUCCGAUUGCGAAGGCAGUUCACUGGACUGCAACUGACACUGAGGCUCGAAAGUGUGGGUAUCAAACAGGAUUAGAUACCCUUGUAGUC